ACCCAGAUCUGAGGCUUGGUGCAAGAGAAGGGGACGAGAAGCUUGCUGGCGACGGGGACGGGUGAGUCGAGUCAGGUCGGGUCGAGAGGGGGAGGUUGUUGGCUCCGAGGAGGGUGCGGAGGUGGCCGGGUGAUGUUGAAGAGGGUCUUGACGGUGUUGAGAGUGGUGGCGUUUGUGGGGACGAAGUCGAUGAGCGCGUGGCAGUUGGAGGUGGCGUUUGUGGGGGUGGUGCAGUUGAAGGUGGCGGUGGAGGAAGGAGCUGUGAGAAUGGAGAGAGAGCCCGGCAUGAGAGUGAUGGUCUAGAGAGAGAGAGAGAGAGCUCUAGGAAAAGAUGGGUUUCCUUCUAUUUAUAAAGUUGGUGAGUGUGUGAUUUAAAAGAAUUGAUAUGUUUUGAAAAAUUUUGGUUUGAAUUUUCAUGAAAUUUUACGCGGGAAGAUGAACGCUGAAUUUUUUAGAACUUAAGCGACGGAAUGUUCUAUUUUCGUCGUCUAAGUGAUUCAUUAUUUUUUUUUUUAAAACAUUCUGUCUCCUAAGUAAACAUUUCCGUCUCUUAAGUUCUACUUAAGCUACGAAAUGUAGUUUCGUCUCCUAAGUGAUUCAUAUAAAUUUUUUAAUUUUUAUUUUUUCAAAAUGUCGUCGUCUAAGUAAAAAUAUUCUGUCUCUUAAGCAGUACUUAAGCGACAGAAUGAAAUUCCGUCUCCUAAGAACAACUUAGGAGACGGAAACUGUUUCGUCGCUUAAGUAAAAAAUUCCGUCGCUUAAGUACCACUUAGGAGACGGAAUUUUUUAAUUCUGUCGCCUAAGUGCUAUUUUCCAGUAAUGACACUCUCACUACCCAUGUUUACAUGAGUGGUAGUUAUGCCGGGUUCGCCAUGUAAAACAAACUGAGGGUGUGGUCACGAAAUUGAUUGGAAAUCCGGCAACUAAGUAUUUCUCAGCUCAGACUUUUGCAUUGCAUGUUGCACUGUUUGAUAAGAUCUCAAAAGCAAGUUUAUGCCAAGUUCAUCUUUUGAAACCAUUUUGAUAAAGGCAUGUUCUACGGCUUAUUAUUAUGUUAUCGUAAGCAUAGGUAUUCAACGUACCCUAGCUUGGUUGGGCUGGACCUUAUUGGGCAAAGUAAGGACAAACUCUCACCCUUACAACAGUUUAAGAUGCAUGUAUUAUGUACUGAUACGGCACAUAUAAUAAGAAGGGAGAUUAGGGCGUGAUUGUUAAUAUCAAGUCUUAUAUUUGAUUGAGGUGACUUCUU
This 1249-nucleotide long non-coding RNA is filed under the name Fragaria vesca (wild strawberry). RNAcentral's name for it is "long non-coding RNA (FVES_LNC001549)". Lineage: Eukaryota; Viridiplantae; Streptophyta; Magnoliopsida; Rosales; Rosaceae. The record is from RNAcentral.